UACGUAGGGGGCUAGCGUUGUCCGGAUUUAUUGGGCGUAAAGCGUGCGCAGGCGGUUCGCUAAGGCCGAUGUGAAAUCCCCGGGCUUAACCUGGGAACUGCAUUGGUGACUGGCGGGCUAGAGUAUGGCAGAGGGGGGUAGAAUUCCACGUGUAGCAGUGAAAUGCGUAGAGAUGUGGAGGAAUACCGAUGGCGAAGGCAGCCCCCUGGGCCAAUACUGACGCUCAUGCACGAAAGCGUGGGGAGCAAACAGG
This 253-nucleotide ribosomal RNA is filed under the name uncultured bacterium. RNAcentral describes it as "partial 16S ribosomal RNA". It matches the Rfam family "Bacterial small subunit ribosomal RNA", at positions 524 to 776 of the family's 1533-position model. The record is from RNAcentral.